UUGCUGCUUACAGGAAACUCAUCU
Molecule: non-coding RNA, 24 nt
Filed under: Mus musculus (house mouse)
Lineage: Eukaryota; Metazoa; Chordata; Mammalia; Rodentia; Muridae
Source: RNAcentral